RNAcentral lists this ribosomal RNA (497 nucleotides) under uncultured bacterium. Its description in RNAcentral is "partial 16S ribosomal RNA". It matches the Rfam family "Bacterial small subunit ribosomal RNA", at positions 28 to 507 of the family's 1533-position model. The record is from RNAcentral.
GAUGAACGCUGGCGGCGUGCCUAAUACAUGCAAGUCGAGCGAACGGACGAGAAGCUUGCUUCUCUGAUGUUAGCGGCGGACGGGUGAGUAACACGUGGAUAACCUACCUAUAAGACUGGGAUAACUUCGGGAAACCGGAGCUAAUACCGGAUAAUAUUUCGAACCGCAUGGUUCAAAAGUAAAAGACGGUCUUGCUGUCACUUAUAGAUGGAUCCGCGCUGCAUUAGCUAGUUGGUAAGGUAACGGCUUACCAAGGCAACGAUGCAUAGCCGACCUGAGAGGGUGAUCGGCCACACUGGAACUGAGACACGGUCCAGACUCCUACGGGAGGCAGCAGUAGGGAAUCUUCCGCAAUGGGCGAAAGCCUGACGGAGCAACGCCGCGUGAGUGAUGAAGGUCUUCGGAUCGUAAAACUCUGUUAUUAGGGAAGAACAUAUGUGUAAGUAACUGUGCACAUCUUGACGGUACCUAAUCAGAAAGCCACGGCUAACUACGUG